ACACGCUGGCGGUGUGACUUAACACAUGCAAGUGGUGCGACGAACCAGAGCUUGCUCUGGGGCAAAGCCGCGAACGGGUGAGUAACACGUGGGUAACUCUACCCCGAUGACCGGGACAACCCGAGGAAACUCGGGCUAAUACCGGAUGUGGUACGGAGACAUAAGUCUCUUUACUAAAGGUAGCUUCGGCUUCCGCAGUUGGGAGGGGCCCGCGGCCCAUUAGCUAGUUGGUGGGGUCAAGGCCUACCAAGGCAACGAUGGGUAGCUGGUCUGAGAGGACGAUCAGCCACACUGGGACUGAGACACGGCCCAGACUCCUACGGGAGGCAGCAGUGGGGAAUCUUGCGCAAUGCGCGAAAGCGUGACGCAGCAACACCGCGUGAGGGAAGACGGCCUUAGGGUUGUAAACCUCUUUCAGAUGGGACGAAGGUGAUGCGGUGAAUAGCCGAUGUCAUUGACGGUACCGUCAGAAGAAGCUCCGGCUAACUACGUG
This 493-nucleotide ribosomal RNA is filed under the name uncultured bacterium. Its description in RNAcentral is "bacterial SSU rRNA". It matches the Rfam family "Bacterial small subunit ribosomal RNA", at positions 33 to 507 of the family's 1533-position model. The record is from RNAcentral.